GAGGAAUAUUGGUCAAUGGGCGAGAGCCUGAACCAGCCAAGUCGCGUGAAGGAUGAAGGUUUUAUGAAUUGUAAACUUCUUUUGCAGGGGAAUAAAGUGCGGUACGUGUACCGUUUUGUAUGUACUCUGCGAAUAAGGAUCGGCUAACUCCGUGCCAGCAGCCGCGGUAAUACGGAGGAUCCAAGCGUUAUCCGGAUUUAUUGGGUUUAAAGGGUGCGCAGGCGGGUUGAUAAGUCAGCGGUGAAAGUUUGCAGCUUAACUGUAAAAUUGCCGUUGAAACUGUCGAUCUUGAGUGCAAAUGAGGUAAGCGGAAUGUGUUGUGUAGCGGUGAAAUGCUUAGAUAUAACACAGAACACCGAUUGCGAAGGCAGCUUACUGGGAUGCAACUGACGCUCAUGCACGAAAGCGUGGGGAUCAAAC
This 420-nucleotide ribosomal RNA is filed under the name uncultured bacterium. RNAcentral describes it as "bacterial SSU rRNA". It matches the Rfam family "Bacterial small subunit ribosomal RNA", at positions 356 to 773 of the family's 1533-position model. The record is from RNAcentral.